This 478-nucleotide ribosomal RNA is filed under the name uncultured bacterium. Its description in RNAcentral is "partial 16S ribosomal RNA". It matches the Rfam family "Bacterial small subunit ribosomal RNA", at positions 28 to 507 of the family's 1533-position model. The record is from RNAcentral.
GAUGAACGCUGGCGGCGUGCCUAACACAUGCAAGUCGAACGGAGUCCAGCCUUUAAGACCUUCGGGUCAAAGAGGGGAAGACUGAGUGGCGGACGGGUGAGUAACACGUGGGCAACCUGGCUCAUAGAGGGGGAUAACAGAGAGAAAUUUCUGCUAAUACCGCAUAAGCACACACUGCCGCAUGGCAGAUGGUGAAAAGAGAAUCGCUAUGAGAUGGACCCGCGUCUGAUUAGCCAGUUGGCAGGGUAAGAGCCUACCAAAGCGACGAUCAGUAGCCGAUCUGAGAGGAUGAACGGCCACAUUGGGACUGAGACACGGCCCAAACUCCUACGGGAGGCAGCAGUGGGGGAUAUUGCACAAUGGGGGGAACCCUGAUGCAGCGACGCCGCGUGAGUGAAGAAGUAUUUCGGUAUGUAAAGCUCUAUCAGCAGGGAAGAUAAUGACAGUACCUGAAUAAGAAGCCCCGGCUAACUACGUG